CUACGGGAGGCUCCAGUGAGGAAUAUUGCACAAUGGGGGAACCCUGAUGCAGCAACGCCGCGUGGAGGAUGACGCAUUUCGGUGUGUAAACUCCUUUUAUAUGUCAAGAAAAUGACGGUAGCAUAUGAAUAAGCACCGGCUAACUCCGUGCCAGCAGCCGCGGUAAUACGGAGGGUGCAAGCGUUACUCGGAAUCACUGGGCGUAAAGGACGCGUAGGCGGGUUGGAAAGUCAGGUGUGAAAUCCUACAGCUUAACUGUAGAACUGCACUUGAAACUUCUAAUCUAGAGUAUGGGAGGGGGAGAUGGAAUUAGUGGUGUAGGGGUAAAAUCCGUAGAUAUCACUAGGAAUACCUAAGCGAAGGCGAUCCCCCGGAACAUUACUGACGCUAAGGCGUGAAAGCGUGGGGAGCAAACAGGAUUAGAUACCCCGGUAGUC
Molecule: ribosomal RNA, 437 nt
Filed under: uncultured bacterium
Lineage: Bacteria
Description: partial 16S ribosomal RNA
Rfam family: Bacterial small subunit ribosomal RNA
Source: RNAcentral